UUUACAGUAGGGAUACUUUCAUGGUCUUCUGUUCAGAAAUAUCUAUUUAAGGAUAAUAUUCUGAGUAUUGUGGUACAUGUGAACUUUGCUAGAAUAUCAUAUGAGGUAUAAAAAGAAGAUAUCUGUAGAAAAAUGGCUCCCAGAGGGAAGUGAAUAUAGCACAGCUUGAAAUGCCUAGUUCUUUGUAAUGUCCUUAGCCACCAGCAAGGCAAAUGUCUUGUGAAAAAGACAAAUGCCUGACUUCACAGUGUAUGCAAGGAGGUAGAACAGGAGGGUUUACUGGAAAGGUGUGAAAACACAAAUGGGAAAUGGUUCUUUUCUCACAGCACUCUUAUUCACACAGAACUUCAGGGAGAAUACUUCUGACUUGUAUCUGGAUAAAUAAGAGUAAUGAUUUACGUUUUUCUUUAAACCUUCAACUCGAAGGUAGAAGGAUGGAUGAAAAGAAGGAAAGAAACACACUUUAGCUUUUGAUUAAAAUGGGUAAAUUCAUGGAAUUAUGACAUUUGGAGAUGUAAAGACUGUGUCUGCUAUAUGCAGCAACAUAAGCUCUUUCCAUUGCAUGAUGAGUAUAGAAUGCAGAAAAGGAUUUGUAAAGUCUAAGUUUAUUUAACAUGUCUAUACUCUGGGGCAUUUGAAUUAUUAAGACUUUAGUUUAUUCUCCUUUAAAGACAACAUUGCCAGUUUAGGUAAUGCUCAACGGGUUUGUAUAAAGAAAAGGCAGAAAUAAAAUGUAUCAAAGUCUACCAUAGAGUUAGAAGGAAAGAAAAAUAAAACAUAGAUAAACACUGAGCAGACAAAAAAAAAAAAAAAUCAUAAAAAAUGAAAGAUGAGUGAAUAGAAAGGAGAAGACUGAACAAAAAGCUAAUUUUGGAGAGGAAAAGACUGUUUGAAUUUAAUGUAAAUUUAUGUAUCCAGCUGAAUAAUAUCACAUAUAUUAGACAUAGGAAGGAAUUGUGGCAAAUGUCCAUUCACAGUGUAAACUUUCAGUAGUGCUUUGCAGUGUUUAUUCAGUGAGUGAAUGGAGCAGACAUUUCCACUGCUCUUGGUGUUUUUUUUUUUCCUCCAUUUUCUGCAGAACUUCCUCUGUACAAAUUACAAAAACUGACUCAUGCCAUAGGUAAGGGAGGUUUGCACUAAUGGCUUUAGAUGGAUGAAGGACAAAGAAAAUGAAUGCCUAUCCAAUUUCUCAUUAAGGUGACAGGGAAUCAAUAUUUGUCUAAUAUUUGAAUUAAAUAUUUGGGAAUUAGAUAAUCUCAGAUCUAUUUCUUUUUAAUUGUAUUUAGGUUCUCUGUACUCCAGAUCUUGCGAAAAUCAGCUCUCCUGUGGAGUGCCAAAAAGAGUCUUAGUUUUCACUGUGCUCAAGUGUGGCUGAAGAUUAUACUGGAAGCACGUCUGUUUAGCAGCUAUAUGAUUUGGCAGUGUUCCUUCUGGGAGCAUUAACAUGGACUUCAGUGAGUGCAUGGUUGGGAUCUGUAUGUAUCUUUCACUUGAAUAAACGGUAGAGGAUGGUCUCUGGAUUCAGGUUACGUUCAACUAGAGAUGAUGGCUUCUUCCAUUUGUAAUUUGUAACCUGACAAUCCAGAUUCACUUCAGUCAUCAGCUAAAUCAUGUUUCAGAAGACUCUCACGAUUUCUGGCAAGCUGGAGUUUGAUGGAGUUAAAAACAAAAUAGUAAACUUGAAAAAUCUGUUCCUUACUGAAGCAAUUCAGUUUCAUUUGCAGCAUCUGGAAAGAAAGUCAAAACCUUCUUGGGAAGAAUUAACACAGCAAUAAUGAGAGCAAUGGUAAAGCAUAAUGCAUAAUAAGACAUGUUUUGUCUUGUGUCACUGAGCAUUAUCUUCACUUGAAAGAUAAUGUAUAAGUAUCAGUAUCUUUUUCCACAUAUCACUAACCCUUAAAAAGUAUGCAUGCAACUUUAUAUUUUCCCUGACCAUCUGGAUGUUGAAAUCCCUAGUAACAGUGACAAUGAAAUCUGAGCCAUGAUAAGAUUCCAUCUAAAAUCUGAUGAGGCCAAAACUUAAAAGUCGCCUCCUAAGGUUGCCACUGGUCAGAUGUAUUGUCAACAACAGUGCUGUAGCACUCAAUAUUAAUGUCUGAUUCUUCUUCAUUAGUAUCCAGCAGCUUAAGGACAUUCUGAUUCGAUUGGUGCUGGUGUUCCAUGUAUGACCAAGAUGCCAGAUUUUUGGGCAGCAUUUUGAGUUUUUUUUUUAAUUUAAUAUUAAAAAACAAAACCAAAACCAAAAACAACACAAGAAUAAAUAAUUUCUUUAAGUGUUUGUGCUACUUUCGUAGUUUUAUUUAGACAAUCCCAGGUGCUGUGAAUCCAUUCUUACUGUUAUUGAUAAUUUGAACAUCCAAAUUCCUGUGUCAUACAACUUCAUAUCUGUGCCUUUCUUCUUCCUCAAGAAAUCACAGCUGAAAUUGAUAUCAAGACCUGGCCUAAUACCCUUAACUCAGUUAGAUGAAUUCAGACAAGCUGUCCAAUCUUCAGAGGAAUCCUACAAACAAAAUGUAGUGGUGGAUGUCAGAUAGAAGCAAACAAAAGUCUGUGGCUUAGGAAUAGUUCCUUUCAUUCAUGAGUCUACAGACAGUCAAAAAAAAAAAAAAAAAAAAAAAGGCAAACGCUGUUGCCAACACUUCACAGCUGAAGAAUAUAAAGUCUAAAGGUACUUACUGUUACACCACAGGGAAGGAGAACAAAAACUGGAGCUGGACUUUAAUUUUUCAGAUCUGAAGAAUACCCUGGCAAG
Long non-coding RNA from Tympanuchus pallidicinctus (lesser prairie-chicken), 2752 nucleotides. RefSeq lists it as uncharacterized. The transcript has 3 exons. NCBI's taxonomy places the organism in Eukaryota, Metazoa, Chordata, Aves, Galliformes, Phasianidae. The record is from RefSeq and is a predicted model, not a curated record.